This 11816-nucleotide long non-coding RNA is filed under the name Erythranthe guttata (spotted monkey flower). RNAcentral describes it as "long non-coding RNA (EGUT_LNC002119)". The record is from RNAcentral. Lineage: Eukaryota; Viridiplantae; Streptophyta; Magnoliopsida; Lamiales; Phrymaceae.
GAGAUACAUAAGAGGAAGAAGUCAGAGCAACAUCGAAGUCAACUUUGUAAUAGGGAAUAUAGAUCAUAAGACAUCUAUAAUCGAAAGUUUCAGCAAGAAACAUAAUGCAGAAGGGCUUCACUUUUCAUCUCCGUAUUAAAUCAAAUCAAACUUGUUUUGAUUGCCAGCGAACUAAAUAUAUUUCAGGUUCAAAUUAUAGGAGUCGCAAUACCAAACUAAGGUUUUUUAGUUGUAAAACUUAGACAUCCAAAUGCAACCAAAAACCCAUAUAAGCUAAACCCAAUGCAUCAGUUUAGCGCUGCAUUCUUGCUCGGCUAUCGGACAGUAUUAGACAAAAUAGUGGGAUCCAAAUUACAAUUUUAAGGAGGUCCAGCAUCAAAAGGGAAGAACACCAGCAACUUCCUAAAAAUAUAUCAUGUAUCCUGGUUCUUUAUAUUUCAUGUAGAUUUCAACAGAAUAAUUAGUGAGGAAGCAUUGUGUCUGACAAGGUAGAGUGUAAUUUGGAAUAUGGAUUUAGCUUUCACAAUCAGCACGGUAAAACCUGGACAAUUAGUUUUGCAACUUAGAAUUGACCCUGAAAGGAGUGAAUUUAUAAAUUUGUUUACUACAAGGCAUUGGCUAUUACACUAGUGACAGUGAAAUAAACUGAAUAGAUAUUGCUCAUUUAAAUUUCGAGAAAAUUCACAACAUACAGACUAGAGUCCUGUUCUCUUAGAUUCCCGUGUUUUCUUAGAUAUAUCAGACCAUAUAUCCAGGAUAUGCACAUUUGAGGAAAUAAUUUUCUCUUAUAUAUCUUCUUUAAAAUGCGAAGAAACAAGACCACCCAGUUAAAACUAACAGUCCUGCUUUGUAAGACCAAGCUUCAGGUAAAUGCUUUUUAAAAAAAAAACAAUUAUGAAACGAUUGACACUCAGAUAUUUUAAUCGUAAUCAAGGAAAAUGAUAUACAGUUCUCCAUUCACAUAUUUCCUCAUACGGGCGAGUAGCAAGUUAAAGUAAAUUGUAAUCAUCCACUCAUUCUCCAACAGAGAGGAGAGUAGUAGUCUAAAUAAGUACAGAAAGCCAUUCCACUGGAGAGUAACCCAGCAGAUGAUAAGGAGACCAAAUAAUAUUUUGGGGCAGAUCUUAGAGAAGACUAUAUCUUGUUACUAUUUUCUUUUGAUACGAAAUCUUGGUACUGUACUUUUAAACUUUUAAACCAACAUUAAACAAGCAGAGAACUUUCAUCGUCCUCGGACGUUUAGAAAAAAGAGUUAACCAUUUAAAAAGAAAUCAUAAUAAUUAGGAAAAGAAUAAAAGUAAAUUGUUGAAUACUUCACAAAAAUAAACAAUGAAUAACAAGAUAAAGUUGCUGAAUUCUUUGAUAUCCAUGCAGAGUGCACAAAACCUGUAGACUUGUGUUGAAUUAAGAAAGAGGAAUUGCAAGAUUAACAACAAAUCAAAUUCCCCUGAAAUUCUUCCAUUCAUCGAACCCUUUACUAAUUAAUUCAAAAGAAGUCACAAAAAAUAUAAGAACUUAAUAUAACUUCCAAAAUGCCUCCACAAACAAGAAUGAAAAAGAAAGGUUACGACGAUCUCUAGCUUAGUUUGUUAGCUCCAUCAAUAAUAUAUCUUAUAAGAUGUUUAAAAGCUUCUGAGAUAUUACAGAAUGUGUGGUAAAAGAAUUAUAAGAAAUCGACUUAUAAUCUCCAGAUGUUAGGAGAAUCUUAUAAGUUCCUUCAAAUAACAAGUAAGGGAUUCCUACUUUAUGUCUGGAGAUCUAAUAGAACUCCUUUACUCUGACCAUAAAAAAAAAUGAUCGUUAUUGACAUCUUACAAGUUCCAUGGUCUUGUUUCAUCCAAACAUUCCAAUAACUUAUUUCCAAACUAAAAUUAACAUCUUAUAUGCUCCAAAAAGAUCUCACAGCGAGCGUUUAAGAGAAUAACUGGAAGGAGUGCAAGAAGAUACCUCAUCAGAAGGAUCUGAAAGUGCCUUUAAGAGUGUUUCAAAAAUGUCACUCAGAAAUGAUAGAACCUGGCCAAAUAAGAAAAUGAAGAAAAAAGUUCAUGACAGCCCAAAUAUAAUUGACGCAAAACAUUCAAUAAUUAGUAGGACUAUGAGGCCACCAUGCAUGGAAACAUAUGCAAGUUGCAGACCAUGUCAACAAUUUCAUUGGAAUAAAGAAGUUUUCCUAAUGGAAUAUAAUUUAUGGAAAAUGAAAUGACUACCUCUGCCCGACGUUUACUUAAUAGUGUUGAUAUCCAGUUCAGUGCUUCGAUACGUGUAGCCUCCCAUUCACUGGAUAGAUGUCUGAUAUAUACAUAUGAAAAAAUUAGACUUUCCCGCUAUUCCACUAAUCUACUAUUAUACGUUGUGAUUAGCAGUACACUUAAAGAAAAGAAAAAACAAAUCAUAACACCAAAUGUCUUGAUCUCGUUCUAUAAGGCUCUCCUCAAAAGCAAUCAAUACAAGCGUAACUACAUAAGGACAUAAGGCAGUUACCUCCUAGCUACAGAAAGGAUCGCUCCUACAUCAAAUUCUUCAGCUGGAUCAGCUUGGAUUCCCCGAAGCUCUUCAUUUGUUUCACGUGCAACCUGAAGUAAAUAGAAUUUUAUAGCAUUUGAAACAUCAAUCUAAAAAGAGGAGGUAAAGUAACGCAUGCAACUGAUACAUUGCAAGCUUUGUGACAAGUAAAAUGGAAACUUACAACUCUAAUUUUCUCUUCCUUGUCUGAUAUGCAAGGUAGGAUUGCAACAAGAAUAUCGGCAUAAUGAGGAACAAGUUGGUCCCCGCCAAGUUUUACAAACUCGUUAAUCUGCAGUGUAGAGUAUAUGAAACUCAUCCAGACAACUGAAAACUCCAAACAACUCAGCAUAAUAUUUUACAUUACUCAUCAAUUGGAAAAGUACUUGACACACUGGAGUUAUAUGCAUGUAUAUGCUUACCCAGGUAAUAGCAGUCAGUCGAGUAAAUUCAUCAGGUGAAGCUGCUCUUUGUACCAGUAUCUCAGCCAUGCGACCAUAAUCUACAGACUUCAAGGGUAAGACUGCUCAAGUCAGCAUGAACAAUAAAAUUUUGUUCACUCAGAAGGACACAAGGUCCCAAAUAGCCAUACAUGGACAUGGACAUGGUAAAAUUCUUCAAGUCACAAGACAAAAAUGGCAAUCUUCUAGUUCUGUCUUUAGUUAGUAGUUCAACUAUUAUCCAGAUUAUCGUUCUUCUCUUAGUUUCAGAGUCUUUGUUUAGUUAGAAACAAGUAAUUCAUUAUAUGUUUGUCUUCUUUGGUGGGGUAGGCAGUUGCCAUCUCUACAUUCAAGUACUUUUUUCCUAUUGUUUCUGUUUCUUUGUCUUUAGAUUUUGUACUGGCAUGUGCAUAAAUACAGAAGCAACUACCAUAUCCUCUACCUUUAGAUUUUUUUCUGGUUCUGUCUUUAGAUUUUUUACUGCCAUCUCUACCUUAUCCUCUUUUUACACCUUAAAUAGAGAGACUUCAUCAAUCUUGUGAUAGUGAUCUUAGAAAGCCUUUUGAGAUUAUAAAGGUUUCUUUCUGUUUCUAAGGAGGUUUUGUGGGAUUUAUGAAACCUUUGAUUUUUUUUCUAAGGAGCCUUUGGAAAACAAUCUACGGAAAUUAUUUAGACGUGCGCAAUUAAUUAUGGGAUUCAGCACAAUGUACUCAAUUCUAUACCACUUACACCUCCACGAAGAAAUCGCGGCAUUGAUUGAAUACAAAAAAUUCAGUCAAAUAUCAAGUGCAUGCUGAAUGAAUACCAAAGCCAAACUCAGUAAAAUACACCUAAAAAAAGGGUUGGCCGCAUUAAGGAUAACAGAGAAAAGCACACAUAUUUCAUGGUUUGAGGAAAAAAAUUUGAGCAUCCCAAUUGGGAAACAAAUAUUCCUCUAAAAAUACACAUCACUAUAAAGCAUAAACAAAAGAAAAGAAACCAACUAUGCAGCAUCACAUAUUCGUCAGUAGAAAAUAUGCACGCAGGAGUCUAGAAUAAGUCUUACUGGAGAGUUCUUGAUUUCUUGAAGAAACUCAGAAAGCGCCGAAUCAGCUUGCUGCCUUAUUUCAUGGCUAGAAUCACUUAGCAUGUUAAAUAAGCCUGUGAUUUCAUCAAUAAUAUGUGAAAUCUAUGAGCAAAAGCACCACUAGAGCAAAUGAAACCUCAGGUUAGGAAUCAAAAUAUACCCACCAUCAAGAAAAUCAGGAAGAAACCCAAGCAUAUCAAUAUCAGGAACACUAUCCAGAACAGUAAUCCAUCCGACCAAAAACUGGCGGACAUAAGGGUUCAGACAUUCACUCGCAAAGUCCUUUUGGCUUCGNNNNNNNNNNNNNNNNNNNNNNNNNNNNNNNNNNNNNNNNNNNNNNNNNNNNNNNNNNNNNNNNNNNNNNNNNNNNNNNNNNNNNNNNNNNNNNNNNNNNCUUCAAUGCUGCAACAGUUAAAAGGCCAGCAAUAGCAAGUUGUGUAAAAUAGAUAAAAAUUUGGAUUCAAUUUGAAAACUAAUUGCAGAGAACUGAUACUAGGAGAGAAGAAGAGAUGACAGACCUAAAUUGAUCACUUUCAGUGACAAUGUCCUGCAUUCAAAAAAAUAGCAAAAAGAAAGAAGUUAUUCCUAGCACUAUAUGUUAGAGUGCAUAGAUAUACCCUUAUGGUUUCGCAGAUAAAAGAAAUCGUACCUUCACAAGUCUAUCCAAAAGAUGAGCAGCACUCUGUACAUUGGAAUCUGAAUCUGCUGAAAGCUUACAUAGCGCAUCAAAUAUCUGGUUGAAGAACACUAUAAAAUCGCCUCUCACGACCUGAAAAUAACCAGGAAUGAAACCCAACCACAAAGAGGGAAAAGGAGUAUAACACAAGUCUUGUUCCCCACCUUCGCAAUGUUAUACAAUGCUUCACAGGCAUAAUAACGAACUCUGCUAUCUUGAUCACCAAAGGAAUUCAACACUGGUGGAACUAUUUGCUGGAACCCCCAGACAAGGGAAAAUGCAUCAAUAAGAAAAUACGAACUUGACAGAAAUAUACCAAGAAAAUGCACCAAUAAUAUAUUGGAAAGCAGAUAUAUAGAAGCAAUAUACCAUAAACAAUCUCAUGAACAUGCAUCUCAUUUUUUUUUCAGAGGAAUAUAUAUAAUCAGUAUUAAGUAUUAACAAUUAAAAAUUAGUUCACAGAACAGAAAAUACAUGAGAUAAAACUUCUUCAUGGUACUGUUUUGAGGAUGCAAAGCGAUUUCUGCUAUUCUCAGACCAAGAGUCAUCAGAUGUAGUAUCAUAUUAGUCAACAAGCAAACAAUUUUCUUUCUACAAGGUCUCUAUAUGCAGGUUUAACACUAUCUCGUACCAUGUUGUCGUGAUAUCAGUGUAACCCAUUAAAGAUAGUAUCUGGAGUGACAAAUGCACACUUUAAUCACCUUGAUCCUCUAACACAUGAUCCUCAAAUAUGCACAAGACAUCAACGUUUAUUUUCCUUGUAGUAAACAUCUUAUAAACGCAUAAUACAAAUCUCAUAAUCAUUGAUCCAUUCCCUAAAAAAAAUCAUAGUUCAACUACCCAACUGAUUUUUAAACACUACUUGCAAGUUGCAACACUAGUGCAGAUAAAGUCAGCUCCAAGUAUGUCGGUCAGCAGAUAACUUCUGCUUUAAUACUGUUAUUUCGGUAGCCUGAAGUCCUUUAAGCUUUUAUGCAUUGCAUCUUACGUUCAUAGUAACCAGUUAACAAUUGUCAUCAACCCCCACCCCCCUUCCUCCCCCAUUUUAUGCAUACCUUCUUGUAUUCGAAGCAAAAGAAAACAAAAACUUUCACACCUCAUGAUAUACAAAACAAAUACUCUUAAACAGGGAAAAUUCAAGGUGAUUUUAAUGAAGACAUCAUCACAAGUAUCUCUCCAAAUAAAACCAAGGCAGCAUUCUUACAUCAAGAUGCUGUGAUGCUUCUGAGGUCAAACCCACUGUAGCUGCCGCCAAUCCUAUCAAACCCCCCUGAACCAUAACGAGACAAAAUAAGACAAAAUAUAUUUUUCCCCAAUAUAACACUCCAAUUCGGAUUAUUAACAUUCGGAUACUCGAGCAGAUGAACAUAGAAAAUAAAGCAACAAAACCUCCUUCCAUAAACAACAAAGGAAUUUAAAGGGGAAAAAAAAACAUACUUUACGAUGAUUCGCUUGGGGCGAGUACGUAUAUUCAUUUAUCAACAAAUUGAUCACUGCAUUGAUUUUAUCUUGGUCUGUGGUCCCUGAUAAUUGCUUCACUAUCCCUUCCACCUAGAUCCAGCAGAACCCCCACACAGUAAGAACAAUAAUUAUAACGAUAAACACAGCCCAGGAAAACCAAGCCCAAACAGUCGGGAAAUCACAAUAAUAAUACAAAUUCAAACACCAAAUAUAUUCAAUUUAAAAAAUAAAAAAAAUAUAUAUAUACUGUAAAUUUGCCUAUGCAAUAUGCGCACACCUCCAGGGCAGCAUUUUUGCGCUUCUCGUAUAGCUUAUCGGAGAGAUUGCGGAGAACCGCCGCAGGAAUCACAGAUAGUGCAUCCGCCAUAGAAGAAGAAGCAAAAAAAAAAAAAAACGCUCGAGGAAAAAUAAAAAAAAAAUUGAAAAAUUAUAGUCUAUUUUUUCAUCACGAUUAGAGAUGUGUGUGUACAACACUCGCUCGCUCGUAUGUAUACGUAUAUACUAAUAUAUAUGUAAUUGAUCAAGAUUUCGAGAGUGAAAGCAGAUCUAGUGAGAGAGUAGGCAAAAUUAGGAAAGAGAAUCUGCGAGGAUGAAGAACGCUGAUAAAGUUGAAAAUUUUCGGAGAGGAAAUUUAUUUUUUGCACUAUUUUCAGCUUUUUAUUAAUUUUUUUAUUUUUAAUUUAGGGCUUUUUUUUUUUCCUUAAUACAAACUAUUUUUUAGAGCGUAACGGUGAAAUUGACGAAGAAGGGGGUUUCUGUAUUCCGGGUUUGGAUACCUAACCCGGAUUUGUCUGGAUAUCAGCUACUUGACUUAAAUACCCUUCCCUUGUAACUCUACUUUCUUUUUCUCUCUUUUUUUCAAAAAUGAAAAUCCUUAUUAUUCUUCAUGAGAUUAUCAACAUUUUCUUAGCAAUUGUUGUAUGUUUGAUCCAUCUACAUUUAUUUUGCAUUGGAUUGAAGCAUAUGUAAGGGUGAAAAUUGGAAAAGAUUUUUUGAAUUCUACUCAUUCUGAUUCGAAAAUCUCCGAUUUUGGAACAAUAUUUUUCAUUGUAAAUUUAAAUAUAUAAAUUGAUAUAAAUUUAUCCAAAAAUUUUGGAUCUAUAACUGAAAUAUAUAUAUAUAUAUAUAUAUAUAUAUAUAUAUAUAUAUAUAUAUAUAUAUAUAUAUAUAUAUAUAUAUAUAUAUAUAUGAGAAUCAACUUUAUUACGUAUUAUAGAUGAAAAGAAUCCGUCCAAUUUAUGUUGGUUUCCAAUCCCAAAAAAUUAGUUUUCCAGUUACAAAGUUGAUUUUUUCUUUCAAAGUGCUAAGUUCCGCUAUUAAAGGAGAAACCCGCAAUUAAAUGUUACCACUACUACUACUUCAUAAAAUUAGUAACACUCUUUUUCCUUACGAUUAAUUUUGUACGGGGUAAUUAGAAAUUACAAUUUUAUCCUUAAAGUAAUAACUUAAUUUUGUUAAAUAAAAAAUUCUACAAACAAUUGGCAUAUGAUAACAAGAACAUAAUCUAACAAAUUUAAUACAAGAUGUAAUCCAAGUCAGUAAAACGUGUUAUUAAUUAAAUACUUAUUUAAUCAAUAAGGAUUUAAUCCAAUCUGAUCUAAUCUAAUAUAGGUAAGUGAACGAGGUCUUAAUUAAUUGCUCAAUCUAUGUGUUCGUGUAAAUUUAGUAAGAGAUCAAAUUAGAAAGAAUUGUUUCAAUAACGAACCUUGUAUGGUGUUAAGAGGUUCCGUAGGUGAAAAGCCGUUUACUUUUCUUUCGAUAAUCAUAAGAUUUUACCCAAAAACCGAUUUGAUCAGUGAUUAUAAUCGUCUCAUAUAUAUCUAUAUAAACUAGUAGUUGCCCGAAAAAAAAAACAUGUGGAUAAUACACCCACUUUUGCAAUCGUAAAAGUUAUCCAACCCACGAAACUCAUGUAGAUGAUUAUUUUAAAAAAAAAAUUUAACGAAAGUAGAAAAGUUAAAUCAGAUCGAUGAUCAACCAACUCAACCCAAUUAAAUACAAAAUCAUGAACUACUUUACCAAUAUUGGCUAGUCAUCAAAAGAUGCAGUUGAGGGGUCAAUUAGCAAUUUUUGCAAAGUUAGCAGGUACAAAUAUAGUUGGCGUUAGCUGGCCGAGAGAGUGCAUUUCGAAAGCCCUGAAAGUUGGGUGGAUAAGGUAGGUGGGUAUUUCAUGUGUGUGUAACCGUCGGUCAAUAUUUUAAUAAGAAAAUAAUAAAUAAAAAGAUUCAUUUAUUUAUACAACAAGUUUUUAUUAAUUUCCGACAAUACAAUUCGUGUGAUUCGUGUUUAAACUCCUUUUUUUUUUUUUAACUCUCAUCUUUUCAAAUUUUGUCCCCUUUGACUUUUUUGGGUCAAGUUGGAGGCCAUAUUCUUGACGAUGAAUGAAGGUACUUUUGAUGCUAAUCUAGUGCUUAUCUGCCGACCUUUCAUAUUUAAUAAUUGGUGCAAUUUAGAGGAAUUGUAUCCAAUUAAGCAUUUAAAAAAAAAAAAGAUAUGAAGCUAUGUUGUAAAUACGGUUUUGUAGAAUCUACUGAAAUUCACCAUGUGUUGAUCUACACAUAAUAACACACACUUCCAUAUGUAUGUGUGCUUAGUGGGUUAUUUAUAGUAAAUCCGUGAUUUAAAAACACAUGGUGUAAUUUACCGCGUGUAUGAUCUAUAAAUACAUAAGAAUAUCCAUAUUAUAAGUGUACUUUCCAUUGGGAAAAUUCAAAUUUCUCAGAUUUUUUCGGAAAUUAAAAUAAAAACAAAAUCCAAAAGAUCCACAAAAUAUACAAAAUUUUGAUUUUCGAGAUUUGAGAACGAAAAUUUUGUUCCAAAUUUAUAGAAAAAAUCGAAUCGGCGUAAUUCUAAAACCCACCCUUAAGUUAUACACAUGCUAAUGUGUAAAUAAAUGACAGAUAAUAUACGAAUAGAAAAAUAUUAGACACUCAAACUAGAAGAGAUACAAAUGAAAUUAUAUGAGUGUCAUUUACACAGUAACAAGAAUUAUCUUAUUCAAGUGCUGUUCAUACAACAAAUCUGUAAAAGAAAAAAGAAAAAAAAAGACGAACCUACAACCGCUCGAAAGGGAAAGGACUCAAGAGUGACUCUUCGAGCUCACGGAAACCCCUGUAGACAGCCUCCGUUUGGCUCUGCGUAAGGGGUAGUCUCCUCACCUCAGUCAUAUACCUGAAUAAUUAAAGAUGAAUUAAAAUUAAACUUAUUCCCAGUCCGAUCCACAAAGAAAAUUCAAAAUUUUGCAAAAUCGAAAUGAGAGAUAUAUUAAUAUAUAGAAAUCAGUCAUAUAUUUCAUUCCAUCACUAAUUUUCGGAGGCGGUGGAAUGGCAUUAUUCAUUAAGAGUUUCCUAACUUACUAUCAAUUCAAAUAUGUCCGACUUUAGGAAUAACUUUAUUUCAUUCUUAUUCUCAAAUUGUUUGGGAAAUUUUUGGAACAUAACUUCCGAAAAAAGUUCGUAAUUUUUUUUGAAAAUUCUGAACUUACUAGUGUCAAUAAUCGAAAAAUUAGGAAACGUAACGAACCUAUUUGCUGCACUAGUGAUCUUAUCGCGAACACCUUGAUUUAGAACCGUAGUUUGACCGAGUGAAAACGGUCCACCAAGAAUCAGAGAAGCUCCAGCAGUACUUGUACCCAUUCUCUGUGCAAAUACAGACAUUGCCCACUCACGAAGUACUGCCAACACUGACCGAAGUAUACGUAAUCUCAAACUCGGAGAAGGCAAAAUAGCUCCGUUCGAAACCAACUGAUCGUAAGUAUUCAGCACAGGUUCUAUUGCACCCUUGCAAGAAGCAAGAAGAGCCCUGGGAAUAUCUUCAUCUCCAACGUGCUCAGCACCCGAAACCACUCGCUCCUAUAAAGAUUUAAAAAGCAUAUGAUAGUUAACUAAUUAUAUGUUUUUUUAAGAGGUAGUAAAACGAACCGGCAAACAAUAUAAUAUUAUUUGAUUUUUUUCACCUGUGCAGCUUUCUCGAGAUGAAGACAGAGAGUAUCUAAUGGUAACAUAGCUCCAUCGCCCGGAUAAACAUGGGAACCAACUCUUGCCAACAUAGCACAAGCUUCAGCAAUACCGCCCCUUGAGAGAGCUUGAUCGAUGAGUCUAGCCCAUGUCUCUCUGACAAUGCUGCUGUCAGCAUCACCCGAAUAGCUUGCGAAGUACAGCAUUUCUAGACAUAUCUGAAAAAAAGAAAUCCAUCAUGAAAAAUGAAAGAAAAGAAUUCAUCAUGAAUCGAACCAAGUGUAACAAUGUGUAGUGACGAAGGAAGUGAUUACAGAUAUCCAAGAAUGAAGUACGAAGGUUUCUCUUAGUUAAGCUAGAAAGGCAAUUGCAUACAGACAUACGUGUAUGUUCUCCAAGCUAGAUCACAAAUAAAAUAAUACUUGAGAACUUGCUUUUGUAAAGCAACUUUAGACAAAAUCAGAUAAAUUCCCAAAUGGUCUAAAGAUAAGAUGGGGUUAGAUCACUUUCUGCAUAUGGAUCACAUAAAUUCAUGUCGUAAUUCGUAAAACAAUUAUCACCAAAACAAGAUUACAAACCUCCCAGAGUUCGAAUGGAACAGCAUACUCAUUGUACAACUGAGUGAUGGUCUUCAAAUCCACUGAUAACUCCUUUGCCUUUUCUCGAACCGCGUGAACAAAAUUGGCAUCGCUGGAUUGACCAUUGUCAGGUGAUGAACCAUUUGGGGUAGAGUUCGACCCCAUGGGAGAAGCUUCCGAUCUUGAAGCCAUAGCUUCUAAUUCCUCUUUGAUCUUCAUCUGGAAUUGAAGAACAGUAAGCUUACCUUCAAGCAAAUCAAGAAGCCCAUUGUCAAUAGCACCGCGCAUGGAAACAUUGCCUGUCUCAGUGGCACUCCUCGCCUGCAGAACAGCAUUACUCAGGUAUUGCCGCCUGCAUCACAGCAAUGUAAGGCCACAAACUGUUAGCUCAAAAUAUAAUUAGAGAUAAUACAGGAAGCCGAAGUUCCAUCGACAUCAAAUUACAAAAUUUCAAUACAGGCAAUAUUAUACAUCAAUAGUUUGCAUAAUGAAACUUAGCAAAUCAAAUCAUGCAAGCAACAUAUCACUUGAUAGACAUUCGCUCGAACAAAAAAUAAAUAAAAGAACCUUUGUUCAAUUGUUGGGGUAUCCCCAGCUUCAGUUGAGCGCCUUUCGGCUAGCCUCACUAAUAUUUGAGCGGCAAGAAUGUGCUGACGCUUCAAGACAUAGUAACGCGCCAGAAGCUCGAAAUACUUUAUCUGAUAAGAUGCAACAGGCACUCUAGACUGGCUCAUGGGAGAAAUUGGGGAUCCAAUCGAGGAAAUAGCCCGGACCUACAAGAAGAAAAGGAUACAUCGAAGACAAUGUUUUAGUAUUCAAAACAGACCUCAGGUUGGACUGACAUUCAGCAAAGCAUCAAUUAUACUACAUUCCGGAAGAAAAAAAUCAAUUAUUAAAGGAGUCAAACCUCAUGAGAAGGAUCACGUCCAGCAUCUUGCAAAAAUUGGACCAAAUCUGGACCCCCAUAUUCCAACAACUCAUCAUCAAGACCUAGAUCAAUCAAUGCUCGAUACAGAUACUCAUGGAAAAAUCUAUAUGAAGAUUGAACACCGAGUUGAAUAAUCUGGCAUAUGUGCUUUUUGCGAGAGGAUUGAUCGAGGACUGAUUGGGAAACAGGCCUGAUAGGAGAUCCAAAUU